AUAUGCAUUUGUAUGAUUAACAAUGCGAAAGAUUCAGGAUACCUUCGGGACCCGUCUUGAAACACGGACCAAGGAGUCUAACAUAUGUGCAAGUUAUUGGGAGAUAAACCUAAUAGCGUAAUUAACUUGACUAAUAAUGGGAUUAGUUUUUUAACUAUUUAUAGAUAAUUAACACAAUCCCGGGGCGUUCUAUAUAGUUAUGUAUAAUAAUAUUUAUAUUAUUUAUGCCUCUAACUGGAACGUACCUUGAGCAUAUAUGCUGUGACCCGAAAGAUGGUGAACUAUACUUGAUCAGGUUGAAGUCAGGGGAAACCCUGAUGGAAGACCGAAACAGUUCUGACGUGCAAAUCGAUUGUCAGAAUUGAGUAUAGGGGCGAAAGACCAAUCGAACCAUCUAGUAGCUGGUUCCUUCCGAAGUUUCCCUCAGGAUAGCUGGUGCAUUUUAAUGUUAUAUAAAAUAAUCUUAUCUGGUAAAGCGAAUGAUUAGAGGCCUUAGGGUCGAAACGAUCUUAACCUAUUCUCAAACUUUAAAUGGGUAAGAACCUUAACUUUCUUGAUAUGAAGUUUAAGGUUAUGAUAUAAUGUGCCCAGUGGGCCACUUUUGGUAAGCAGAAACUGGCGCUGUGGGAUGAACCAAACGUAAUGUUACGGUGCCCAAAUUAACAACUCAUGCAGAAACCAUGAAAGGCGUUGGUUGCUUAAAACAGCAGGACGGUGAUCAUGGAAGUCGAAAUCCGCUAAGGAGUGUGUAACAACUCACCUGCCGAAGCAACUAGCCCUUAAAAUGGAUGGCGCUUAAGUUGUAUACCUAUACAUUACCGCUAAAGUAGAUGAUUUAUAUUACUUGUGAUAUAAAUUUUGAAACUUUAGUGAGUAGGAAGGUACAAUGGUAUGCGUAGAAGUGUUUGGCGUAAGCCUUCAUGGAGCUGCCAUUGGCACAGAUCUUGGUGGUAGUAGCAAAUAAUCGAAUGAGACCUUGGAGGACUGAAGUGGAGAAGGGUUUCGUGUGAACAGUGGUUGAUCACGAGUUAGUCGGUCCUAAGUUCAAGGCGAAAGCCGAAAAUUUUCAAGUAAAAAAUCAGUGAGUAAUAUUGUCAAAUCUUUUAUGAUUUUUAAAUACUUGAAUAAUUUUGAACGAAAGGGAAUACGGUUCCAAUUCCGUAACCUGUUGAGUAUCCGUUUGUUAUUAAAUAUGGGCCUCGUGCUCAUCCUGGCAACAGGAACGACCAUAAAGAAGCCGUCGAGAGAUAUCGGAAGAGUUUUCUUUUCUGUUUUAUAGCCGUACUACCAUGGAAGUCUUUCGCAGAGAGAUAUGGUAGAUGGGCUAGAAGAGCAUGACAUAUACUGUUGUGUCGAUAUUUUCUCCUCGGACCUUGAAAAUUUAUGGUGGGGACACGCAAACUUCUCAACAGGCCGUACCAAUAUCCGCAGCUGGUCUCCAAGGUGAAGAGUCUCUAGUCGAUAGAAUAAUGUAGGUAAGGGAAGUCGGCAAAUUAGAUCCGUAACUUCGGGAUAAGGAUUGGCUCUGAAGAUUGAGAUAGUCGGGCUUGAUUGGGAAACAAUAACAUGGUUUAUGUGCUCGUUCUGGGUAAAUAGAGUUUCUAUCAUUUAUGGUAGUUACUUGUUCCCCGGAUAGUUUAGUUACGUAGCCAAUUGUGGAACUUCUUGCUAAAAUUUUUAAGAAUACUAAUUGGGUUAAACCAGUUAGUUCUUAUUAAUUAUAACGAUUAUCAAUUAACAAUCAAUUCAGAACUGGCACGGACUUGGGGAAUCCGACUGUCUAAUUAAAACAAAGCAUUGUGAUGGCCCUAGCGGGUGUUGACACAAUGUGAUUUCUGCCCAGUGCUCUGAAUGUCAAAGUGAAGAAAUUCAAGUAAGCGCGGGUCAACGGCGGGAGUAACUAUGACUCUCUUAAGGUAGCCAAAUGCCUCGUCAUCUAAUUAGUGACGCGCAUGAAUGGAUUAACGAGAUUCCUACUGUCCCUAUCUACUAUCUAGCGAAACCACAGCCAAGGGAACGGGCUUGGAAUAAUUAGCGGGGAAAGAAGACCCUUUUGAGCUUGACUCUAAUCUGGCAGUGUAAGGAGACAUAAGAGGUGUAGCAUAAGUGGGAGAUAUUAGAUUUCGGUUUGGUAUCGACAAUGAAAUACCACUACUCUUAUUGUUUCCUUACUUACUUGAUUAAAUGGAACGUGUAUCAUUUCCUAGCCAUUAUACGGAUAUAUUUAUUAUAUCUUAUGGUAUUGGGUUUUGAUGCAAGCUUCUUGAUCAAAGUAUCACGAGUUGUUAUAUAAUCGCAAACAAAUUCUUUAAUGAGAAAAUGCAUUUAUGUAUUUUCAAUUUGAAAAUUUGGUAUAACUCCAAUUACUCAGGUAUGAUCCAAUUCAAGGACAUUGCCAGGUAGGGAGUUUGACUGGGGCGGUACAUCUCUCAAAUAAUAACGGAGGUGUCCCAAGGCCAGCUCAGUGCGGACAGAAACCACACAUAGAGCAAAAGGGCAAAUGCUGACUUGAUCUCGGUGUUCAGUACACACAGGGACAGCAAAAGCUCGGCCUAUCGAUCCUUUUGGUUUAAAGAGUUUUUAACAAGAGGUGUCAGAAAAGUUACCAUAGGGAUAACUGGCUUGUGGCGGCCAAGCGUUCAUAGCGACGUCGCUUUUUGAUCCUUCGAUGUCGGCUCUUCCUAUCAUUGUGAAGCAAAAUUCACCAAGCGUUGGAUUGUUCACCCAUGCAAGGGAACGUGAGCUGGGUUUAGACCGUCGUGAGACAGGUUAGUUUUACCCUACUAAUGACAAAACGUUGUUGCGACAGCAUUCCUGCGUAGUACGAGAGGAACCGCAGGUACGGACCAAUGGCACAAUACUUGUUCGAGCGAACAGUGGUAUGACGCUACGUCCGUUGGAUUAUGCCUGAACGCCUCUAAGGUCGUAUCCGUGCUGGACUGCAAUGAUAAAUAAGGGGCAAUUUGCAUUGU
This 2972-nucleotide ribosomal RNA is filed under the name Drosophila persimilis. RNAcentral describes it as "eukaryotic LSU rRNA". It matches the Rfam family "Eukaryotic large subunit ribosomal RNA", at positions 598 to 3185 of the family's 3401-position model. Lineage: Eukaryota; Metazoa; Arthropoda; Insecta; Diptera; Drosophilidae. The record is from RNAcentral.